AUGGCGAUGGUGCUGGAUGCAUUCGCGUCCUACCUGGUGGACAUGCUCACGCAGGUGGCAGCAGAUGAGGUAGGGGCGAUGCUCGGUGUCUCGGGUGAGAUCAACAAGAUGGGCGACAAGCUCCUAGACCUCAAAAACUUCCUGGCCGACGCCGACAGGAGGAAAAUCACCGACAAGACCGUCCAAGAGUGGGUGGGGCAGCUCAAGCAUGCCAUGUACGAAGCUACUGAUAUCCUCGACCUCUGCCAGCUCAAGGCCAUGGAGAGUGGAUCAUCCUCGAUAGAUGCAGGGUGUUGCAAUCCCUUGCUCUUCUGUAUGCGGAACCCCUUCCAUGCUCAUGAGAUCAGCAUCCGCGUCAAGGCACUCAACCAGAGGCUCGACGCCAUCAAGCAACGAAGCGCCACUUUUGGCUUCAUCAAUCUCAUGUCCUAUGAGGAUCGUAGUGGCAAUGCCCUUGCCACGCACUAUGGUAAUCCAAGUCGGGAGACGGUAGGGGACUUUGACCGGUCGGCUUUGGUUGGGGACAAAAUCGAAGAUGACACAAGAGCGUUGGUGACCCAUAUCAUGCAGACAGGAAAGGAGGUCAACGAUGGCAUCAUGGUGGUCGCCAUUGUAGGUGUCGGCGGGAUUGGCAAGACCACACUCGCUCAGAAGAUCUUCAAUGAUGAGGCAAUCGAAGGUGAGUUUAGCAAAAAGAUAUGGUUGAGCGUCAACCAAAACUUCAAUGAGGUUGAGCUGCUGAGAAGAGCCAUCAUCGAAGCCGGAGGAGACGCCCAACUAGCUGGAAAUGCAAAGGCCACACUUCACCGAAGCCUCAAGGAUGCCUUGAUUGGCCACAAGACCUUGUUGGUAAUGGAUGAUGUGUGGGACCAUGUAGCAUGGGAGGGUGUGCUCAAAGUUCCAUUCAAUGUUGCUGCUUCAGGCAGCCGAGUCAUUGUCACCACUAGGGAUGAAGGUGUUGCUCGAGGGAUGAUAGCUAGACGGCCCUACCACCAAGUCGACACAUUAUUGCCUGGAGAUGCUUGGUCAUUGCUCAAGAAGCAGGUACUCUCAGGUGAGAUAGAUGAAGAGCACAUCAAUACACUAACGGAUAUUGGAUUGGAAAUUAUACAAAUAUGUGGUUGUUUACCACUUGCUGUUAAAGUAAUGGGAGGUCUCUUGCGUGAAAGAGGGGGGCUCCGUCGUGAAUGGGAGCAGGUUUUGGAUGAUUCCAAAUGGUCAGUAACUAAAAUGCCCCAAGAGCUCAACCACACAGUAUACUUAAGUUAUGAAUAUAUGCCGCCUUAUUUGAAGCAGUGCUUUCUAUACUACUCACUUCUUCCUAAAAGUAAAGUUUUUCAUAUGGAUGAAGUCAUUGCGAUGUGGAUGAGUGAAGGAUUUAUUCAUGGAAACUCUAGUGAUUUAGAAGAAUUGGGAAAAAACUACUACAAGGAGUUGAUAUCUAGGAACCUUAUAGAGCUAGAUAAAUCAUAUGCUCAUAUAUGGGUUUGUAGCAUGCAUGAUGUUGUUCGCUCAUUUGCUCAGUAUAUGACUAAAGAUGAAGCGCUCGUAGCUCAAGACGGAGACAAUGAUAUUCUUACAAAACUUGGUUCACAAAAGUUUCUUCGGUUGUCAAUAGAAACUAACCGAUCACAAUCAGGUGAUCUAGAUUGGACAUCUCUGCAGGCGCAACAAUCAGUGAGAACAUUAAUCUCAACUAUUCAGAUCAAGAUGAAGCCUGGUGAUUCAUUGGUUACCUUCUCAAGUCUACGAGUCCUAUAUAUAGAAGCUGCAGAUGUGGCUGCACUGGUUAAAUCAUUGCAUCAACUCAAGCACUUGAGGUAUCUGGCACUAUUAGAGACUCAUAUUUCUGUACUCCCUGGGAACAUUGGCAAGAUGAAACUAUUACAAUUCCUUGACCUUCGUGGAUGCACAAAAUUGGUGAAUCUUCCUGAUAGCAUCGUGAUGCUUAGCCAACUACAAUUUCUUUACAUUCCCAACAUACAUAUGAUACCUAGAGGGUUCCGUGGUCUGACAGACAUAAGGAAACUAAUUGGGUUUCCAGCCCACAUGGAUGGUGAUUGGUGCAGUUUGGACGAGUUGGGGCCUCUUUCCCAACUCAAAAAUCUUUUCUUAAAUAAAUUGGAAAAUGUAUCUGCUGCCUCAUUUGCUGCUAAUGCUAGGCUUGGUAAGAAGAUGCAUCUUAUCGAACUAGACAUUGGUAAAGAUUGUGUUAAAAUUAAGAUGUGA
Molecule: ribosomal RNA, 2229 nt
Filed under: Triticum aestivum (bread wheat)
Lineage: Eukaryota; Viridiplantae; Streptophyta; Magnoliopsida; Poales; Poaceae
Description: partial small subunit ribosomal RNA
Source: RNAcentral